RNAcentral lists this ribosomal RNA (420 nucleotides) under uncultured Nitrososphaerota archaeon. Its description in RNAcentral is "bacterial SSU rRNA". It matches the Rfam family "Archaeal small subunit ribosomal RNA", at positions 459 to 879 of the family's 1478-position model. Lineage: Archaea; Thermoproteati; Nitrososphaerota. The record is from RNAcentral.
CAGCCGCCGCGGUAAAACCAGCACCUCAAGUGGUCAGGAUGAUUAUUGGGCCUAAAGCAUCCGUGGCCGGCUCUGUAAGUUUUCGGUUAAAUCUGUACGCUCAACGUACAGGCUGCCGGGAAUACUGCAGAGCUAGGGAGUGGGAGAGGUAGACGGUACUCGAUAGGAAGGGGUAAAAUCCUUUGAUCUAUUGAUGACCACCUGUGGCGAAGGCGGUCUACCAGAACACGUCCGACGGUGAGGGAUGAAAGCUGGGGGAGCAAACCGGAUUAGAUACCCGGGUAGUCCCAGCUGUAAACUAUGCAAACUCAGUGAUGCAUUGGCUUGUGGCCAAUGCAGUGCUGCAGGGAAGCCGUUAAGUUUGCCGCCUGGGAAGUACGUACGCAAGUAUGAAACUUAAAGGAAUUGGCGGGGGAGCAC